This 116-nucleotide ribosomal RNA is filed under the name Periophthalmus magnuspinnatus. Lineage: Eukaryota; Metazoa; Chordata; Actinopteri; Gobiiformes; Gobiidae. The record is from RNAcentral.
AACUGACCGUACCGGCUUGUCAAAGCUUGAUCUCAUAAAAUUUCAGAAGCCAAGCAAAGCCGGGCCUGGUUAGUAGUUGGAUGGGAGACCACUGGGAAUUCCAGGUGUCACAGUGG